CUGGCGGCGUGCUUAACACAUGCAAGUCGAACGAUGAAGCCCAGCUUGCUGGGUGGAUUAGUGGCGAACGGGUGAGUAACACGUGAGCAACCUGCCCCUGACUCUGGGAUAAGCGCUGGAAACGGCGUCUAAUACUGGAUACGAACAGCGACCGCAUGGUCAGUUGUUGGAAAGAUUUAUUGGUUGGGGAUGGGCUCGCGGCCUAUCAGCUUGUUGGUGAGGUAAUGGCUCACCAAGGCGUCGACGGGUAGCCGGCCUGAGAGGGUGACCGGCCACACUGGGACUGAGACACGGCCCAGACUCCUACGGGAGGCAGCAGUGGGGAAUAUUGCACAAUGGGCGCAAGCCUGAUGCAGCAACGCCGCGUGAGGGAUGACGGCCUUCGGGUUGUAAACCUCUUUUAGCAGGGAAGAAGCGAGAGUGACGGUACCUGCAGAAAAAGCACCGGCUAACUACGUGCCAGCAGCCGCGGUAAUACGUAGGGUGCAAGCGUUAUCCGGAAUUAUUGGGCGUAAAGAGCUCGUAGGCGGUUUGUCGCGUCUGCUGUGAAAUCUGGGGGCUCAACCCCCAGCCUGCAGUGGGUACGGGCAGACUAGAGUGCGGUAGGGGAGAUUGGAAUUCCUGGUGUAGCGGUGGAAUGCGCAGAUAUCAGGAGGAACACCGAUGGCGAAGGCAGAUCUCUGGGCCGUAACUGACGCUGAGGAGCGAAAGGGUGGGGAGCAAACAGGCUUAGAUACCCUGGUAGUCCACCCCGUAAACGUUGGGAACUAGUUGUGGGGUCCAUUCCACGGAUUCCGUGACGCAGCUAACGCAUUAAGUUCCCCGCCUGGGGAGUACGGCCGCAAGGCUAAAACUCAAAGGAAUUGACGGGGACCCGCACAAGCGGCGGAGCAUGCGGAUUAAUUCGAUGCAACGCGAAGAACCUUACCAAGGCUUGACAUAUACGAGAACGGGCCAGAA
RNAcentral lists this ribosomal RNA (960 nucleotides) under Microbacterium sp. RNAcentral's name for it is "bacterial SSU rRNA". It matches the Rfam family "Bacterial small subunit ribosomal RNA", at positions 36 to 1005 of the family's 1533-position model. The record is from RNAcentral. Lineage: Bacteria; Bacillati; Actinomycetota; Actinomycetes; Micrococcales; Microbacteriaceae.